Dioscorea cayenensis subsp. rotundata (Guinea yam) is the source of this 393-nucleotide long non-coding RNA. RefSeq lists it as uncharacterized. The transcript has 2 exons. NCBI's taxonomy places the organism in Eukaryota, Viridiplantae, Streptophyta, Magnoliopsida, Dioscoreales, Dioscoreaceae. The record is from RefSeq and is a predicted model, not a curated record.
CUCUAGAAGUCAUCUUCAUCAUCCUCAAAGAGUCAUAUAUAUAUAUAUAUAUUAAUUAUCAUGGGAUACUGGAAAGAUAAGUUGUUACCAAAGAUCAAGAAGGUGUUUGGUUCAAAGAGGGAAAGCAAAGAAGCUAAAAAAAGAGAAGUAGAAGGUCCUGGUGCAGUGGAGAGUAGUAGUAAGGAGGUGAGUUUAGAAAUUGAAACUAAGGUGAAGAAAGAGGAGGUGGAGGAGGAGAAGAUGGUGGUUGCACCUGAGUCUAAACCAGUUAAACCAGUUGAGUAUGUUUGAUGGGGUUUUUAUUUAGGUGUAUGUAGAGUUGUAACAAGGAUGCUUCCUUGUAUUUGUUUGCUUGAUUUUUGUUAUUCUUAAUUUGGUAUUUGUUUCUCUUAA